AUAUUUACAUGGCACGGGAGAGACCAGGAUCACAAAGGUGGUUUUCCAAGAGUGAGAUUCAUGAAUUCCACCCCAGAAGUGCUGCUCCCUGUGAUUUUUCCCAAACGUGGUAAAUUUGACUGUAUAACUUGUGGUAGUGGGGAACUGAAUUUGUAAUUUAUCCCUG
Small nuclear RNA from Sorex fumeus (smoky shrew), 166 nucleotides. RefSeq annotates it as U1 spliceosomal RNA. The transcript has a single exon. Lineage: Eukaryota; Metazoa; Chordata; Mammalia; Eulipotyphla; Soricidae. The record is from RefSeq and is a predicted model, not a curated record.